UGAACGCUGGCGGCGUGCCUAAUACAUGCAAGUCGAGCGAACAGAUGAGGAGCUUGCUCCUCUGACGUAGCGGCGGACGGGGGAGGAACACGUGGAUAACCUACCUAUAAGACUGGGAUAACUUCGGGAAACCGGAGCUAAUACCGGAUAAUAUAUUGAACCGCAUGGUUCAAUAGUGAAAGACGGGUUUGCUGUCACUUAUAGAUGGAUCCGCGCCGCAUUAGCUAGUUGGUAAGGUAACGGCUUACCAAGGCAACGAUGCGUAGCCGACCUGAGAGGGUGAUCGGCCACACUGGAACUGAGACACGGUCCAGACUCCUACGGGAGGCAGCAGUAGGGAAUCUUCCGCAAUGGGCGAAAGCCUGACGGAGCAACGCCGCGUGAGUGAUGAAGGUCUUCGGAUCGUAAAACUCUGUUAUUAGGGAAGAACAAAUGUGUAAGUAACUAUGCACGUCUUGACGGUACCUAAUCAGAAAGCCACGGCUAACUACGUG
Molecule: ribosomal RNA, 494 nt
Filed under: uncultured bacterium
Lineage: Bacteria
Description: partial 16S ribosomal RNA
Rfam family: Bacterial small subunit ribosomal RNA
Source: RNAcentral